This 78-nucleotide non-coding RNA is filed under the name Yoonia rosea. Its description in RNAcentral is "Loktanella rosea Alpha-proteobacteria SAM riboswitch aptamer". It matches the Rfam family "Alpha-proteobacteria SAM riboswitch aptamer". From Rfam's summary of the family: This family is a riboswitch found predominantly in alpha-proteobacteria that binds S-adenosyl methionine (SAM). This SAM riboswitch is located upstream of the metA and metC genes in Agrobacterium tumefaciens, and other methionine and SAM biosynthesis genes in other alpha-proteobacteria. The record is from Rfam by way of RNAcentral. Lineage: Bacteria; Pseudomonadati; Pseudomonadota; Alphaproteobacteria; Rhodobacterales; Paracoccaceae. RNAcentral also lists the same sequence under 1 other name.
UGGUGGCAGCGUGGCGAUUUGUUACCGGAUUGCGGGCCACGUUAAACAUGCCGCUAAAGAGGACUCUAGGUUGUUCAA